UUUUUUUUUUUUUCUUUUAAAUGAGCCAUGAGCAUUUGUUCUUUCUGUAUGGAAAACCAAAGAACAUUGAGAUGUUUUUAACAAAGCUGUAAUUUCCUGCCCACUGGUAAGGACUAAUGGUGAGAGCUUACCUUCUGCUGCUGCAUAAAUAAAGUAUAUUUAGAAGUGGUUGAACUGUUGGAUUGUGUGAAGAUUUGGGAUGCAGGCUCUUCAACUUGAAACCUUCUUUAAAAGUGACAGAGAAAAAUAAAAGUGUGAACUUACUCAUUAAAAGGAAAUAGAUGCUGAGGGAAGAAUCUUCCAUCCUCUCUGCAAUGUAGACCAAAAGGUAAAAACUAAUAUGUGUUUGUUGUGUCAGCAUAUUUUCACACUGCUGGAUGUUGCAUGUUUACAGCUGGUUCUGAUGCAGCUGUCAGGGUACAAUUGAUGAGCAUCAUCAUUUAAAGUGUAAAAGAAAAUAUCUUGGCAUAGAGGGACAUGAUAAAGUGCCAUCUACCAGGCAUUGUGGACAUAUGUAGUCACCAUUGCCUUUUUCUCCUCACUCUUUGCAUUUCUUUGCUGCCCUUGCCAGAAUGUGCAGAAGCCAUUGGGAGCAGUUCAGCCCAGCCUCCAGCCUUCUAAUAUCACUUUGGUAGUUGUCAGAUCAUAUGAAAUGUCAAAAUUCAUGUGGCCUUCGUGAAGAGAUAUAUUUAGUACAGCUGCUGCAUACCUACGUAGUAUCUCUGACAUUGACAUAUUAGUUAUGCUGUCUUUUGCAAUCUGAUAUCUUUAAAUUUGCCACCUUGUUAAGUUUUGAUUAAUGUGAUUCCAUUUCACUAAAGUAAUUGGCUUGGCCUGUUGUAGAAAAUAAUCAGCCUUUCUACGGAACAAAUGCUAGAACAUGCUAAUGAGGGAGUGAGUUCGUUAAAUUGAUGGCGUGGAGUGACAGUUAUUAAUGAUUGUUAUGAUAAACAGACGAGUGCGAAUUGGGAUGAGUUGGGCAAAAGUGACAGUUUAAAAAUAACGUAUAUUGGAAAGUACUAACGAAGUAAUAUACUGUUAGGAAAACAAUCAUGCAAGUUGUCAAGGGAAGAAGUGUAAUUAUACAGCUGCACGAGCUGCCUGGGAGGACAGGGACCUGGCUGAUAAUGGACACGUUUUUUGUUGGCAAGGGGAAAAUAUGUUAUGGCAGAGAGGAGUACAGAUUGAUAAAUUAAUUGGCCUUUCUCAUUGUUUCAAGAGCAAACUUGGCCAGCAAUAGCCAAGCAGAAUAGGUAAAUAAAUGAAGUGACCAGCUCUUCCUCUGCAUCUGACCCAUUCCCUGCCCUUUCUUUUUAAUCCACCUAUGCAUGAACUGCCAAGUCCAACUGCCUGUGUAGCAGUGUUUGUAUAAAUGUAGCUCUCCUGAAAAUAUUUAUUGCCUUUAAAAAUGAGAGAUGCUUUGUCUUAGAAAGAUUUUUGUCUUAAGAUGAAGGUUAAUUUUAAUGCCAUCAGCCUUAUGCAAUGUGAUAUGAAAGUACACUCAUUUUUAAAGUGAAAUUUAGACAGAGCUGUCCAUCUGAAAGCUUGCAAGGAAAAAUAAAAUUGCUCAUAGGAGUGUUUGGGAGAUGGAGGGAUGGUUGCUUAUUGUUGCUUAAGCUUGGUGCUAAAUGGCUUCAGGUUGUUGUCUGUAGGAGAAAAACAUUUGUAUCUCUGAGACUGACAGCAGUGCCAUAGGUAAUUCAGCUGUUAGAUUGCCCAUGUAGUAGACUCAGUGGAGAAGCAGAGGGUAAAUGUGGAAUACUUUCUUAAUAAGUAUAAGGAGAUACAAAGUGAGUAGGCCAUUAGAUAUUAAAAAAAAAAAAGUGAAACAGCUGUUGGAAAAAUUCAGUGUGGACAGUGAUACUGAACUGCUGUGGUUAAUAGGAGCACUAGGUACCACAUUCUGGAUCACUGCCGUCUCUGUUCCAGUGCAGAGGACAUUUGGGCAGGCAUGGAACUGAGUGGUCAGUGCUAUUGCCCUUCUUUUACUUGCUUGUUUGCACUCUCUUGCAUUUAAGCGUCUACUUUCCUCCACAGAAACAUGGGCAAAUUACCAUAUUUUUCAUAAAGAUGGAGGAAGUGAUUUUGAAAAAGUUGGCUAAGAGAAAGCACUGUUAUCACUGUCAAAUUCCAUCUGCUCAGGACACACCAAUGAAUAGAAGAUGGAGAAGAGUUUAGAUUCUGUAUGACAGCCUACAGCCACAUCAGCACUGAAUGGAGCCUGUAAAAUGCUUGCUUAGCCAUUUUGCUAGAUGUUUUACUGGAUUCAGCUUGGUCUUGGUCUUGCAAGGGCUCCAAUAAUCAUGUUACCAAUUCCUCGUGACAACCCUCAAGAACACAAUCUGUUCAUGAAUCUUGCCGUGUUUCCUUUGCUGCAUAAGCACUAGUUUGUGUAGUCUUAGACUCAUGAACACUGAUUCACUGGAUACAAUAAUCUAACCAAAAUGAGCAAAGAUAAUUUUCUAUUUAUUAAUUAAGUCUAAGCCUUUUUCCUAAUAGUGUUAUAGGUGAAAUCCCUCCAGUCCUUGAUUUUCAUGGUUAGCAAAAGGAAGAAAUAUAUAAAUAAAUGUUGGUUUCCACAGAACUUAUCAUUUUCCUAAUAGUGUCAUAGAUUCAAUGUGUCAGGUAUAGCUUAAGAAACUGCUAAUUAGUAGCUUAAUGCAAGUUACUGUGUGUAGAUUUUAUCAUACUGAACUUCAUUGUUCCAUUCAGAACAUGUAAACUGGUGACUAAAAAGCCUUUUUUAAAAACAAAAAUGUAGCAGUUACCAGAUUACUUUGUACAAGUGAAAACUGACACUAAAUUCGGAGCUAUACUGCACUUCUCUGGUUGAAGAGGUCCUGUUUUACCACCAUAUUUCUUCUUGAAAGGCUUAAUGUAUUCAGCUGCUACCUAAACCUCAACUAGAUUAUAAAAAGCAGCCUUAACAAUUUCUUAAUUUCAGCAUGCACAAUUUUGGUUCUGCCUCUCAACAAAGUAUAUUCAUACUUGGCUUCCAUGGCCAAACUGUUCAUUUAGGUCCUUAGCCUCCAUUGCUCCUGCUCUCUGACUUUUAGCACGUGUCUGCAUUGCCCAUUUAGUCUGGAUUAGGCUUGUGUUUUGGAGGCACCACUUUUACUCUUCCACUGCACUUUGGAUCUGCAGUGUCUGAAUUAUUUUCAAACACAGUUGAACUGGAGAAUGUUCCUCAGAGGUGCAUCUGCUCCAUCUGCUGCUGAGCAUCCAGUCUUUGGAAACAGGUUACAUCAAAUAGCCAUUGAAAUCCUCUAAAAAGCAUCUAAUGUUGGAUACUGGGUCCUUAGCAUUCAGUGUUUUGCUCUGGAGGUCUGCUCAAUUUGGACUUCACUGUUUGCUUAGAUGGAUAUACUCCUCAUAAUACUUUAAAAUGAAUCUUCAUAUGACAUUACUGUUCAUUUAUCUUUUUACUUAAUGCUAUUUUUUUUUCUUCAUUUCUGUCUUGCUGCACUGAUCGUAUCUGUCUGGUUCAUGGUAUCACUGCUAUUUUACUUCAGGACUGGGGCCUGGCCUUUGUACUGUUUUUGAUUGUGCUUCUGUUUUUGUUUUUCAAUCACUUUUGAGAAAUCACUGAGGUAGUCUUUUCAUAAAUCUGACUUGACUUGGCUUUCUUGGAGACAGCAUUAGCAGCAGCUAUUUCCCUAAGCAGAGAUGUUGAAAGAAAAUAAUCUACAGCUGAUCUAAUAGUUGUGAAGUGAGAGGUAUUUAUUUUGACUUUAUUCUGAACUAUAUCAGUGUAGAAGAGCCUAAUUUCUUUUUGCCGUGGCAUAAGAAGGAUUUAGAUAGUGAAUAGGAGGUUGUUUUGAGCUGUAGAGGGGAACAUUAGGUGGCAUAUAGUUCACAAGGUGAAUCCAGCCUGUGUCCAAACAUGUAUAAAUAAUUUACAGUAUUACCAGGAGUCACACAUCGUGGAAGAACAGCGUGUUGCUGCUAUGCACAGAUUUCUGCUUCUGAGAAUAGCUUUGCUUUGUGAAUAUAGACACCUAUUGUACUAACUAUUUUAGGAUAAUUAUGGUGUACUUCUCUGAGGCUUUUCCUUUUUCCUUAUGGGGAAAUAAAGCAUGUAUUUUUAGAUUGUUACCUAUGGAGACAGAGUGCUGGUGUGUGUGUUGCAUAAUCUCCCCAAAUAACUGUGGGUGAGUAAAUUCCUGAGUGGGGGAAUAGAUGAAGUUGGUGGAUGUGACCAGCUUUAGGUCCUGCCAGUCCUGUGGCUGUGAGGGGGCUGCAGCAUGAUAACCCCAUGCCACACUGAAGACAUAAUUGGCUCAAAGAACAGGCAGUGUGAAGUCUGGUAGUGUCAGAGAGACCAAGGCUGAGCUGCAAAGAAAAACCUGCUGUUCUGUGAACACCAGGCAGGCAGGGUAUGACUCCACAGGAAAACAGAAGUGAUUAGUUCAGGUAUUUGUAGUCACAAGAUUGAAGUGAACCUGUCAUAUGAGGACGUAUGACUUCAAGGGGGACUGCUUCAAAGAAACAAAACAUUUUGUGUUCCUCAGCUGUACAGAGAGAUGGCCAUACUCCAGUUAUCCUGUAUUCAGUAUUAUAUUUCUGCAUAGCAGAAAUAUUAUAUUUAAGCAUAGCAGACAAUAGCCAUUAUAUGACAAACCUUCAUUAGGCUGGAGGAGAGGCUGCAAUUUGAGAGCUGGGAUGGCUCUUGAAGAUUACGAGCCUAAAUUCUACCACAGUAACCACAUCAGACACAGUCUUGACCUGUCCUCUUUGCCUCAAGACAAUCACAGGUGUUUCUACUAAGCAUUUUAAAAUGAAGGUGCUAGCUGGAAUUUGAUCACUUCUCACUGCUCCUCUGAUCCACUUUUACACUGUGCUAAGCCAGAAGAUUUGCUGUAUUUACCAGCUUAGUGCUAUAAUGAAUUAUCAAAAUAAUGAAAAUGGCCUACCAUUAACUUAAUUUUAAAUGGUGAUAAUACAGUGGAAAAAACAGAAGCCAGUCAUUCCUCAAAAAGUGACCAUAGUGACUAUACAGCGCAGGAGAAAAGCAAAGGUGGAUGUGAGAGAGAUGUGUUAUCUUUCUGAGCUCAUUGUCUUUUGGCUCUCAGUUCAUAGCACAGUCUUGGGAGAGAGCAAAUUUCUGAAACAGGUUGUCAUUAAUCCCUGCUUUUCAGUAGCAAAUAAGGAUCCCUCACCCCAUCCCUCGGCCACAGCUGAAAUCACUUGAAAAGGGUAAAAGAUUUUACUGUCCCAGGUGUUUCAGUUUCUCAGUCUUAUAUGGUAUCCACCUGGGCCUCUCUUUUUAAGGUCA
Molecule: long non-coding RNA, 5275 nt
Filed under: Taeniopygia guttata (zebra finch)
Lineage: Eukaryota; Metazoa; Chordata; Aves; Passeriformes; Estrildidae
Description: lncRNA (ENSTGUG00000025376.1)
Source: RNAcentral